This is a small nuclear RNA of Rhododendron vialii, 156 nucleotides long. RefSeq annotates it as U1 spliceosomal RNA. Lineage: Eukaryota; Viridiplantae; Streptophyta; Magnoliopsida; Ericales; Ericaceae. The record is from RefSeq and is a predicted model, not a curated record. The transcript has a single exon.
AUACUUACCUGGACGGGAUCAAUGGGAUAUCAACGAAGCCUAUGGCCAAGGUUAGCAGCCUCCAUUGCAUUUGUGAGGGGUACUACUUAUCUAAGGUCUAUCCAAGUGAAAGAGUCUACGUCAAAAUUUGUGGCAGUGGGGUUCGCAAGGCCUAAG